This 77-nucleotide transfer RNA is filed under the name Salmonella enterica. RNAcentral describes it as "tRNA-Val". It matches the Rfam family "tRNA". Rfam says of the family: Transfer RNA (tRNA) molecules are approximately 80 nucleotides in length. Their secondary structure includes four short double-helical elements and three loops (D, anti-codon, and T loops). RNAcentral also lists the same sequence under 1 other name. Lineage: Bacteria; Pseudomonadati; Pseudomonadota; Gammaproteobacteria; Enterobacterales; Enterobacteriaceae. The record is from RNAcentral.
GCGUUCAUAGCUCAGUUGGUUAUAGCACCACCUUGACAUGGUGGGGGUCGUUGGUUCGAGUCCAAUUGAACGCACCA